Molecule: long non-coding RNA, 384 nt
Organism: Mauremys mutica (yellowpond turtle)
Lineage: Eukaryota; Metazoa; Chordata; Testudines; Geoemydidae
Exons: 3
Source: RefSeq, a predicted model, not a curated record
GACGAAGUUCCUUUUGAAGCCCGGCAGAUCAAUCUAAUGGAGUUACUAGAGGCACAUGCCACCCCGCCAGAGCUCAGCUUCCUGCUUGUGCACCCAGUCUCUGCCAGUCUGGGGUGCAGAAAGCAGUGACUUUUACCUAAUACUUCACGGAAAGAUAACACCCUACCAACCAUCACAUGCACUUUGGGCUGACUUUUGAGGUGUUUAUUCAAGGGCUAGAUUGUGACUUGGACUACAUGGUCAUAGUGGGGAGCCAAACCUUGUGUGGUUAUCCAGAUCCUGGGUCCAGGCCAUUGCUUACUCCCUCCCCAGAGUAGGGAGGUGUGGGAAACGCGUGAAGCCCGGCUUGCAUCUCACCCUAUUCAGGAAACAAGACUGGGAUUG